AGGGUUUGAUCAUGGCUCAGAACGUACGCUGGCGGCACGCCUAACACAUGCAAGUCGAACGAAGUAGCAAUACUUAGUGGCAGACGGGUGAGUAACAUGUAGGUAUCUGCCCUUUGGCCUGGAAUAACACGAGGAAACUUGUGCUAAUACCGGAUAAGUCUUUACGGAGAAAGCUUUAUGCACCAUUGGAUGAGCCUGCACUUGAUUAGUUUGUUGGUGGGGUAAUGGCCUACCAAGACUGUGAUCAAUAGCUGAUUUGAGAGGAUGAUCAGCCACAUUGGGACUGAGACACGGCCCAAACUCCUACGGGAGGCAGCAGUGGGGAAUCUUGCACAAUGGAGGAAACUCUGAUGCAGCGAUGCCGCGUGAGUGAAGAAGGCCCUUGGGUUGUAAAGCUCUUUCGUCGGGGAAGAAAAUGACUGUACCCGAAUAAGAAGGUCCGGCUAACUUCGUGCCAGCAGCCGCGGUAAUAC
Molecule: ribosomal RNA, 473 nt
Filed under: uncultured bacterium
Lineage: Bacteria
Description: bacterial SSU rRNA
Rfam family: Bacterial small subunit ribosomal RNA
Source: RNAcentral